UACGUAGGGUGCGAGCGUUAAUCGGAAUUACUGGGCGUAAAGUGUGCGCAGGCGGCCGAGCAAGUCGAGUGUGAAAGCCCCGAGCUUAACUUGGGAACUGCGCUCGAAACUACUUGGCUAGAGUGUGGCAGAGGGAGGUGGAAUUCCACGUGUAGCGGUGAAAUGCGUAGAGAUGUGGAGGAACACCGAUGGCGAAGGCAGCCUCCUGGGCCAACACUGACACUCAUGCACGAAAGCGUGGGGAGCAAACAGG
Molecule: ribosomal RNA, 253 nt
Filed under: uncultured bacterium
Lineage: Bacteria
Description: partial 16S ribosomal RNA
Rfam family: Bacterial small subunit ribosomal RNA
Source: RNAcentral